Long non-coding RNA from Herpailurus yagouaroundi (jaguarundi), 908 nucleotides. RefSeq lists it as uncharacterized. The transcript is spliced from 4 exons. The record is from RefSeq and is a predicted model, not a curated record. Lineage: Eukaryota; Metazoa; Chordata; Mammalia; Carnivora; Felidae.
UAGGCGGGAAUCCCAGGCCCGCCCUCCUUCCGCCUCGGCGGCUUCCUCCCUCCUGAGACCUCUGUCCGCCAACGGUGCGGCUGCUCAGAGGUAUAUGUACUAUGGCCUUCCGGCCUUUCUGAUUUGGGAAAUUCAGAGAGGAGACAGUCUAGUCCUGCUUAGGAAAUUUUAUCCGUCUCCAUUAUCCUGGCUUUAGGGGAGUCUGACACCAUGAGAGGUUAAGAAACUAAUCGAGAUCAUGACAGCAAAAACAGGGCAGAGCCAAAUUUGGAACCCAGUAUUUUAUAACUCCAAAUCUAAAAGAACUUGCAGCCACUGACCAGACCCCUUUCAAUUAUGUCAGGGAAACUGAGUAAGCUGCUUGUUACAUAUUUACCGGGACACCGCCGCUCAUCUCCCCUCUCAGUGAUCGGGUGAUGCAAGAGGGAAAAGCCUGAGAUGGAUUCAUAAAUGGCUCGAUUGGGUUCGUUGGUGAAAGCUGGAAAUGAACAGAGGCUGCACUGCCGCCUCACUCAGCAUGGUCCUGAAAGAUUAGCGUUUCAGUUUUUUAAUCACUCUCUGGCUGGCUCCUACCUCUUGGAGAGAAAGCCUCUCUCCUUCAGAAGCCACCCAGCGUCCCUCCCUCAUCCAUUCAUUCAGAUCAUUAAUGAAGAUGUUAAAUGAGACCAGAAUGAAACCGCGUCCCCGUGGCAUCCCGGGAAGACACCUUCCAACAACUUGACACUCUGCCAUUUGCUGUUUCAUUACCCUUUGUUUACCUUGCACACACAGGCCCUCGCUUUUGAAAGAGGCAGAAAGCUUGAUAUUUCUAUUGCUGCAGAGAUGCCACUGAAGGGUGGGGACGUGAAAACCUGGCAUAUUGUAAAUACGUCCUUUUGAGUUUGAAAUAAACGUGGAUUACAAAUUGA